Molecule: ribosomal RNA, 253 nt
Filed under: uncultured bacterium
Lineage: Bacteria
Description: partial 16S ribosomal RNA
Rfam family: Bacterial small subunit ribosomal RNA
Source: RNAcentral
UACGGAGGGGGCUAGCGUUAUUCGGAAUUACUGGGCGUAAAGCGCGUGUAGGUGGCCUGAAAAGUCAGGGGUGAAAUCCCAGAGCUUAACUCUGGAAUUGCCUCUGAAACUGUCAGGCUUGCAUCUGUCAGAGGGUGGUGGAAUUCCUAGUGUAGAGGUGAAAUUCGUAGAUAUUAGGAGGAACACCAGUGGCGAAGGCGACCACCUGGGGCAGUAUGGACACUGAGACGCGAAAGCGUGGGGAGCAAACAGG